Molecule: long non-coding RNA, 500 nt
Organism: Arabidopsis thaliana (thale cress)
Lineage: Eukaryota; Viridiplantae; Streptophyta; Magnoliopsida; Brassicales; Brassicaceae
Product: other RNA
Exons: 1
Source: RefSeq
AGCAUGUGAGAAGAGUAAGGGAUUAUAAAUGUUGUGGAAACAGAAGCGAAUCACAUGUGAACAAAGAGAAGAAGACAAAAGGCAGGGGAGACGCCACGUGGAUAGUUAUGAUAAGAAAUUAAAGGGGCUCAUUAGAAGAAAAGAGAGGGGCUCACUAAAAAUAGAGACAAGAAGAGAGACCCAACAACUCACGUGUCCCCAUUUCCUUUUUGCUUAUUCGGCUCAACUAAUCAGCACCACAUUUCACAAUUCACACCCACUCUCUGGUCUUCACGACAUUCAUGUUCAACUUUGGUCCCAUUCCCAUCAUUAUCAUUUGUUCAUUUACCACAUACAUAUUUUUCUUCUUUUAUCUGAUCCUUUUUAUUUUAUUUAUCACGGGGUGAUUUUCUAGUUUUUCUUUAUUUUUUACUCACAUGUUUGAUAUUAUAGUUAUAAAUUUAUUUUAGUUUGUGAAAAGUUCUAUUUUUAAAUAUAUAUCAUAUGAAGAUAAAUUUUAG